This 369-nucleotide ribosomal RNA is filed under the name uncultured eukaryote. Its description in RNAcentral is "SSU rRNA". It matches the Rfam family "Eukaryotic small subunit ribosomal RNA", at positions 587 to 972 of the family's 1831-position model. The record is from RNAcentral.
AGCUCCAAUAGCGUAUAUUAAAGUUGUUGCAGUUAAAAAGCUCGUAGUCGGAUUUCGGGUCGGGCCGAGCGGUCUGCCGAUGGGUAUGCACUGUUUGGCGCGGCCUUCUUUCCGGAGACCGCGGCUACUCUUAACUGAGCGGGCGUGGGAGACGGAUCGUUUACUUUGAAAAAAUCAGAGUGUUUCAAGCAGGCAGCUCGCUCUUGCAGGAUAAUUGAAUAGGACUCUGGUGCUAUUUUGUUGGUUUCGAACACCGGAGUAAUGAUUAACAGGGACAGUCAGGGGCACUCGUAUUCCGUCGAGAGAGGUGAAAUUCUCAGACCAAUGGAAGACGAACCACUGCGAAAGCAUUUGCCAGGGAUGUUUUCA